UGGUGAGUAACACGUGGAUAAUCUACCUUUGAGUCUGGAAUAAUCCUCCGAAAGGGGGUCUAAUACCGGAUGAGACCACGGAAGGACAUCCUUCAGAGGUCAAAGGCGGGGCAACCUGCCGCUCAAUGAUGAGUCCGCGCUCCAUUAGCUUGUUGGCGGGGUAAAAGCCCACCAAGGCUGCGAUGGAUAGCCGGCCUGAGAGGGCGAUCGGCCACACUGGGACUGAGAUACGGCCCAGACUCCUACGGGAGGCAGCAGUAGGGAAUAUUGCGCAAUGGACGAAAGUCUGACGCAGCAACGCCGCGUGGGUGAUGAAGCUCCUUGGAGUGUAAAACCCUGUCAGUGGGGAAGAAACGUAUUGGGAGUAACCGCCCUUUACCUGACGGUACCCACAGAGGAAGUCCCGGCUAACUCCGUGCCAGCAGCCGCGGUAAUACGGGGGUACAAGCGUUGUUCGGAUUCACUGGGCGUAAAGGGCGCGUAGGCGGACCCUCAAGUCGGAUGUGAAAACUGGCGGCUUAACUGCCAGCCUGCACUCGAUACUGUCGGUCUUGAGUACAGUAGAGGAAAGCGGAAUUCCAGGUGUAGCGGUGAAAUGCGUAGAUAUCUGGAAGAACACCAGUAGCGAAGGCGGCUUUCUGGGCUGAUACUGACGCUGAAGCGCGAAGGCUUGGGUAGCAAACAGGAUUAGAUACCCUGGUAGUCCAAGCGGUAAACGAUGGGUACUAGGUGUCGGGGGUAUCGACCCCUUCGGUGCCGCAGCUAACGCAUUAAGUACCCCGCCUGGGGAGUACGAUCGCAAGAUUGAAACUCAAAGGAAUUGACGGGGGCCCGCACAAGCGGUGGAGUAUGUGGUUUAAUUCGAGCAACGCGAAGAACCUUACCUGGGUUUGACAUGCUUGAGACAGCCGGUGAAAGCCGGUCUCCCUUCGGGGCUCUUGCACAGGUGCUGCAUGGCUGUCGUCGGCUCGUGCCGUGAGGUGUUGGGUUAAGUCCCGCAACGAGCGCAACCCUUGUCCAUAGUUGCCAUCAGGUAAUGCUGGGAACUCUAUGGAGACUGCCGGUGAUAAGCUGGAGGAAGGUGGGGAUGACGUCAAGUCCUCAUGGCCCUUAUAUCCAGGGCUACACACGUACUACAAUGGCCGGUACAGAAGGUCGCAAUACCGUGAGGUGGAGCUAAUCCUUAAAACCGGCCCCAGUUCGAAUUGGAGUCUGCAACUCGACUCCAUGGAG
RNAcentral lists this ribosomal RNA (1233 nucleotides) under metagenome. RNAcentral's name for it is "bacterial SSU rRNA". It matches the Rfam family "Bacterial small subunit ribosomal RNA", at positions 104 to 1325 of the family's 1533-position model. The record is from RNAcentral.